RNAcentral lists this transfer RNA (73 nucleotides) under Bos taurus (domestic cattle). It matches the Rfam family "tRNA". From Rfam's summary of the family: Transfer RNA (tRNA) molecules are approximately 80 nucleotides in length. Their secondary structure includes four short double-helical elements and three loops (D, anti-codon, and T loops). Further hydrogen bonds mediate the characteristic L-shaped molecular structure. tRNAs have two regions of fundamental functional importance: the anti-codon, which is responsible for specific mRNA codon recognition, and the 3' end, to which the tRNAs corresponding amino acid is attached (by aminoacyl-tRNA synthetases). tRNAs cope with the degeneracy of the genetic code in two manners: having more than one tRNA (with a specific anti-codon) for a particular amino acid; and 'wobble' base-pairing, i.e. permitting non-standard base-pairing at the 3rd anti-codon position. The record is from Rfam by way of RNAcentral. Lineage: Eukaryota; Metazoa; Chordata; Mammalia; Artiodactyla; Bovidae. RNAcentral also lists the same sequence under 2 other names.
UCCCUGGUGGUCCAGUGGCUAGGACUCUGUGCUCCCAAUGCAUGGGGCCCGGGUUCGAUCCCUGGUCAGGGAA